This 459-nucleotide ribosomal RNA is filed under the name uncultured bacterium. Its description in RNAcentral is "partial 16S ribosomal RNA". It matches the Rfam family "Bacterial small subunit ribosomal RNA", at positions 338 to 795 of the family's 1533-position model. The record is from RNAcentral.
CCUACGGGAGGCAGCAGUGAGGAAUAUUGGUCAAUGGACGGAAGUCUGAACCAGCCAUGCCGCGUGCAGGAAGACGGCUCUAUGAGUUGUAAACUGCUUUUGUACAAGGGAAAAGCUGAAGAGGUGUAUUGAGCUGAAAGUACUGUACGAAUAAGGAACGGAAAAGCCCGUGCCAGCAGCCGCGGUAAUACGGAGGAUGCGAGCGUUAUCCGGAUUUAUUGGGGUUAAAGGGUGCGUAGGCGGAAUGCCAAGUCAGCGGUAAAAUCGCGUGGCUCAACCUCGCUCCGCCGUUGAAACUGGCGUUGUUGAGUGGGCGAGAAGUAUGCGGAAUGCGUGGUGUAGCGGUGAAAUGCAUAGAUAUCACGCAGAACUCCGAUUGCGAAGGCAGCAUACCGGCGCCCAACUGACGCUGAAGCACGAAAGCGUGGGUAUCGAACAGGAUUAGAUACCCCAGUAGUC